UACAGAGGUCCCAAGCGUUGUUCGGAUUUACUGGGCGGAAAGGGUGCGUAGGCGGUCGGGUAAGUCUGAUGUGAAAUCUCUGGGCUCAACCCAGAAAUGGCAUUGGAUACUAUUCGGCUAGAGAGUUGGAGGGGGGACUGGAAUACUUGGUGUAGCAGUGAAAUGCGUAGAUAUCAAGUGGAACACCAGUGGCGAAGGCGAGUCCCUGGACAACUUCUGACGCUGAGGCACGAAAGCUAGGGGAGCAAACAGG
This 253-nucleotide ribosomal RNA is filed under the name uncultured bacterium. RNAcentral describes it as "partial 16S ribosomal RNA". It matches the Rfam family "Bacterial small subunit ribosomal RNA", at positions 524 to 776 of the family's 1533-position model. The record is from RNAcentral.